Molecule: ribosomal RNA, 468 nt
Filed under: Neogloboquadrina dutertrei
Lineage: Eukaryota; Foraminifera; Rotaliida; Globorotaliidae
Description: bacterial SSU rRNA
Rfam family: Eukaryotic small subunit ribosomal RNA
Source: RNAcentral
GCACCACAAGAACGCGUGGAGCAUGUGGCUUAAUUUGACUCAACGCGGGAAAUCUUACCGGGUCCGGACACACUGAGGAUUGACAGGCAAUAUCUAAAUCGUUUAUAAUUCUAUUAUAAUACGCUAUUUAGUGUUAAAUAUGCUAGUCCUUUCAUGAUUAUGUGAUAGGUGGUGCAUGGCCGUUCUUAGUUCGUGGAGUGAUCUGUCUGCUUAAUUGCGUUUCACUAAGGGCCCAUAAAUUCAAGGUAUGUUAGCUAUCGUUUCUCAAUUGACCCCUUAUUUCUAAUAAGCGCGUGUCUUUUAGAGUUUAAACAUUGCGCAUGCUGUUGGGUCCUGAAAGCAACGAACGUGACCGCAACGUCUUAUUGCCUUUAUCUUGUUAUAUUCUAAUUUAAUUAGGAAUAACUAACAGAGGCUAAUUUAAAAUUAGACGGACCGCUGUACUUUUCUUAAACCAGAGGAAGGUUG